AGCUCAGAACUUUCGGACUGCAAAUCCGUUUUUGGGGUUUCCCCCUGGGCUU
Molecule: transfer RNA, 52 nt
Filed under: Varanus mitchelli
Lineage: Eukaryota; Metazoa; Chordata; Lepidosauria; Squamata; Varanidae
Description: tRNA-Cys
Source: RNAcentral